Molecule: non-coding RNA, 104 nt
Organism: Bombyx mori (domestic silkworm)
Lineage: Eukaryota; Metazoa; Arthropoda; Insecta; Lepidoptera; Bombycidae
Source: RefSeq, marked provisional
CCUCUUCGCACGUUUCCAGACUGGUUUCUUCUAAGGAGCCAUUUAUAUAUUCACUUAUAUGCUCUUCCAUAAGCUAGAAGCAGUUAGUCAGAUAGUUGCCAGAU